GCCGGGCAUGGUGGCUCAUGCCUGUAAUCCCAGCAUUUUGGGAGGCUGAGGCGGGCCGAUCACCUGAGGUCAGGAGUUCGAGACCAGCCUGGCCAACAUGGUGAAACCCCGUCUCUA
This 117-nucleotide non-coding RNA is filed under the name Homo sapiens (human). Lineage: Eukaryota; Metazoa; Chordata; Mammalia; Primates; Hominidae. The record is from Rfam by way of RNAcentral.